UGCCUUUGGUCGCAUAAACUCAUGUAAAAAUGGCUCGAAAAAAUGGCAACUUGCACUUUCACCCUGUCAUUACUGGCCACUCUGCUUUG
Long non-coding RNA from Poecilia latipinna (sailfin molly), 89 nucleotides. RefSeq lists it as uncharacterized. The transcript is spliced from 3 exons. The record is from RefSeq and is a predicted model, not a curated record. Lineage: Eukaryota; Metazoa; Chordata; Actinopteri; Cyprinodontiformes; Poeciliidae.